This 305-nucleotide ribosomal RNA is filed under the name uncultured bacterium. Its description in RNAcentral is "bacterial SSU rRNA". It matches the Rfam family "Bacterial small subunit ribosomal RNA", at positions 335 to 637 of the family's 1533-position model. The record is from RNAcentral.
UCUCCUACGGGGCGCAGCAGUGAGGAAUAUUGGUCAAUGGUCGGGAGACUGAACCAGCCAAGCCGCGUGAGGGAUGAAGGUACAGAGUAUCGUAAACCUCUUUUGUCAGGGAACAAAGGCGGGGACGUGUCCCCGGAUGAGUGUACCUGAAGAAAAAGCCCCGGCUAACUACGUGCCAGCAGCCGCGGUAAUACGUAGGGGGCAAGCGUUAUCCGGAUUCACUGGGCGUAAAGGGAGCGCAGGCGGCACGGCAAGUCUGGGGUGAAAACCCGGGGCUCAACCCCGGGACUGCAUUGGAAACUGCC